GCGGGUAUAGUUUAGUGGUAGAACGAAAGCUUCCCAAGCUUUAGAUGAGGGUUCGAUUCCUCUACCCGCUCCA
Molecule: transfer RNA, 73 nt
Filed under: Pseudomonas amygdali pv. morsprunorum
Lineage: Bacteria; Pseudomonadati; Pseudomonadota; Gammaproteobacteria; Pseudomonadales; Pseudomonadaceae
Description: tRNA-Gly
Rfam family: tRNA
About the family: Transfer RNA (tRNA) molecules are approximately 80 nucleotides in length. Their secondary structure includes four short double-helical elements and three loops (D, anti-codon, and T loops).
Source: RNAcentral